CUCCCAGGCGUCGAGCGGCGGACGGGUGAGUAAUGCAUAGGAAACUGCCCAGUAGUGGGGGAUAGCCCGGGGAAACCCGGAUUAAUACCGCAUACGUCCUUCGGGAGAAAGCAGGGGCUCUUCGGACCUUGCGCUAUUGGAUGUGCCUAUGUCGGAUUAGCUUGUUGGUGGGGUAAUGGCCUACCAAGGCAACGAUCCGUAGCUGGUCUGAGAGGAUGAUCAGCCACAUCGGGACUGAGACACGGCCCGAACUCCUACGGGAGGCAGCAGUGGGGAAUAUUGGACAAUGGGGGCAACCCUGAUCCAGCCAUGCCGCGUGUGUGAAGAAGGCUUUCGGGUUGUAAAGCACUUUCAGCAGGGAGGAAAAGCUUAAGGUUAAUACCCUUGAGUGUUGACGUCACCUGCAGAAGAAGCACCGGCUAACUCCGUGCCAGCAGCCGCGGUAAUACGGAGGGUGCAAGCGUUAAUCGGAAUUACUGGGCGUAAAGCGCGCGUAGGCGGUUAGAUAAGCGAGGUGUGAAAGCCCCGGGCUCAACCUGGGAACGGCACUUCGAACUGUCUGGCUAGAGUAUGGUAGAGGGUAGUGGAAUUUCCUGUGUAGCGGUGAAAUGCGUAGAUAUAGGAAGGAACACCAGUGGCGAAGGCGGCUACCUGGACCAAUACUGACGCUGAGGUGCGAAAGCGUGGGGAGCAAACAGGAUUAGAUACCCUGGUAGUCCACGCCGUAAACGAUGUCGACUAGCCGUUGGAGAUCUUGAAUCUUUAGUGGCGCAGUUAACGCACUAAGUCGACCGCCUGGGGGAGUACGGCCGCAAGGUUAAAACUCAAAUGAAUUGACGGGGGCCCGCACAAGCGGUGGAGCAUGGUGGUUUAAUUCGACGCAACGCGAAGAACCUUACCUGGCCUUGACAUGUUGGGGAACUUUCCAAAAAUGGAUUGGUGCCUUCGGGAACCCAAACACAGGUGCUGCAUGGCCGUCGUCAGCUCGUGUCGUGGAAAUGUUGGGGUUAAGUCCCGUAACGAGCGCAACCCCUAUCCCUAGUUGCCAGCACAUUAUGGUGGGAACUCUAGGGAGACUGCCGGUGACAAACCGGAGGAAAGGUGGGGGAUGAACGUCAGGUCAUCAUGGCCCUUUACGGCCAGGGCUAACAACGUGGCUACAAUGGGCCGCCCAAAAGGGGCCGGAAACCCCCCAAGGGGGAACCAAUUCCUUUAAAACCGG
RNAcentral lists this ribosomal RNA (1222 nucleotides) under Marinobacter lacisalsi. Its description in RNAcentral is "bacterial SSU rRNA". It matches the Rfam family "Bacterial small subunit ribosomal RNA", at positions 81 to 1284 of the family's 1533-position model. The record is from RNAcentral. Lineage: Bacteria; Pseudomonadati; Pseudomonadota; Gammaproteobacteria; Pseudomonadales; Marinobacteraceae.